Molecule: ribosomal RNA, 301 nt
Filed under: uncultured bacterium
Lineage: Bacteria
Description: partial 16S ribosomal RNA
Rfam family: Bacterial small subunit ribosomal RNA
Source: RNAcentral
CAGCAGCCGCGGUAAUACGUAGGGUGCGAGCGUUAAUCGGAACUACUGGGCGUAAAGCGUGCGCAGGCGGUUGUGUAAGACAGGUGUGAAAUCCCCGGGCUUAACCUGGGAACUGCGCUUGUGACUGCACAGCUAGAGUAUGGCAGAGGGGGGUGGAAUUCCACGUGUAGCAGUGAAAUGCGUAGAGAUGUGGAGGAACACCGAUGGCGAAGGCAGCCCCCUGGGCCAAUACUGACGCUCAUGCACGAAAGCGUGGGGAGCAAACAGGAUUAGAUACCCGCGUAGUCCCUGUCUCUUAUAC